UACGAAGGGGGCUAGCGUUGCUCGGAAUCACUGGGCGUAAAGGGUGCGUAGGCGGGUCUUUUAAGUCAGGGGUGAAAUCCUGGAGCUCAACUCCAGAACUGCCUUUGAUACUGAGGAUCUUGAGUUCGGGAGAGGUGAGUGGAACUGCGAGUGUAGAGGUGAAAUUCGUAGAUAUUCGCAAGAACACCAGUGGCGAAGGCGGCUCACUGGCCCGAUACUGACGCUGAGGCACGAAAGCGUGGGGAGCAAACAGGGAUUAAGAUACCC
RNAcentral lists this ribosomal RNA (267 nucleotides) under uncultured bacterium. Its description in RNAcentral is "partial 16S ribosomal RNA". It matches the Rfam family "Bacterial small subunit ribosomal RNA", at positions 524 to 787 of the family's 1533-position model. The record is from RNAcentral.